Long non-coding RNA from Dromiciops gliroides (monito del monte), 972 nucleotides. RefSeq lists it as uncharacterized. The record is from RefSeq and is a predicted model, not a curated record. The transcript is spliced from 3 exons. Lineage: Eukaryota; Metazoa; Chordata; Mammalia; Microbiotheria; Microbiotheriidae.
CAGGUAGACAUAUGGGGACUCUUUCUGGGAUUUGAAGACUCUGUGUCCAGCCAGACACCAUUUUUGACCUCCAGGUGCUUGGAGCCAGCAGGAAUCUUUUGUGUUCCAGUCUGGACUCAAAUUCUGAAGCCUGGGCCAACGCUUGGAAGUAUGAUUGUUACAAUUAAUUUCUAAUGAAAAUGCAAAAAGAUGCACCUCCCCACCUUCUAGAUCAUGACUUUCACCAGAUAUCCAGAACUAUGAUUUAGUUCUCUCCCCAUAAUGAUAUCCAGCUCUCCCAAUUUCUGAAAAACUCUCUGCUUUCCCCCAUACCCUGACAGUCUCUGUAUUUAUCUGCUCUUCUCCACCCCUGAAGAAGUCCCAUCCCCUUAAUUCUUCUGAUAUUGGAAACAUUCUUAGUGACUCUCCAAUCCAAAUUCCAUUGGAGCCUCUAAACCUCUUCCUGUGGUCUUACAGUAUUUCUAAAGUAUUGAGAGCCCUCAAGCCAGCCACUUUUCUCCCUGUCAAAGGAUGAGAACUCUGACUACCCUCAGGAUUGUGAUUGUAUUAAAAUGACUGACUUUAUUUUAACCUCCCAAGAAGAUCUGCAAGAAACUGAGAUAGAAAACCUGGAUUAUUCCUGGUACACUUAUGGUCCCUGUCUCCAAAAUGAUGCUGGUUAUGCUAUCACCACCACUGAGGAGGUCAUUGACCCCUUCUUUUGGCUUCCUCAGCACAAAAGGCUUAAUUUGAAGUCCAAGCUUGUGAAUUAGCAAAAGGAAAACAAGUGAAUAUUUACUCAGAUAGCAGUCAUUUUCUAGAGGCUCAACCUUAAAUCAGGCUACCCUACAGUUGGAACCUGGAGAUGGAGUCUUCUGGAAAAGGCACCUACAUAGCUCUUUGUGGGGGCAAAGAGUUGGAAAUCGAGGGAAUAUCCAUCAAUUGGGGAAUGGCUAAACAAGUUGUGGUAUAUGAAUGUAAUGGAAUACUAUU